GCCCAGGCAACUGGGUCUACUGUUUCCGGUCGGCUAAAGCUCGCGUACCCGAUUGCCGCCAACAUUACACAUGAAAACUUUGAACCAAAAUACACAUCUGUUGGACCACUUAUGAACACUUGAAAGGAAGAUUUUUAAUUUUAAACCACUUAAAAUGUAAAACUUGUUCGUAAAAUAAAUCCUGGGGUCUUAAUAGGGAGUAUGACAUUUAAUAGAAAAACACAAAUUUCCGUGCUAGCAGGAGGGGAAAGACAACACUGCACACCAAUGGAGGCCAUAUGUUUUGAAAAGUGUUCUGCUAAGCAGCUUUGCAGUGGGACUUGAUUUCCGUCGAUUUUCUGAAAUAAUUUGACCUGUCACUCUGCCGAAAGACUACCCAUGAGCGCUAGAAAGUUGACAUUAUGUAUGUUAUCAGAAAAAAGGAUUGUCCAUUUUCAAUUCCUACGAAAAUAUCUUGGGACGGUUCUUAACCUUCUUUAGACAAAUCACCCAACACUUAUGCUUCUUUACUUCAAUUGUGCCAGUAUUCCUGUUUUAUUAAACCUUUGUAUCCCAUUGGGAAUGUUUUCAUUGAACGGUAAUGUUCCCAUUGUGUUUGUUUUAAAUUGAUUAUAACUUGUUAUAGCUGUAGGCUUCUUUCAAAACUGUAUGGAAUAACAGUCAGAAACUUUGUUUCCAAAACGUAGACAUAAAUAUUUCUUGAGGGAACAAUAAUGAAGUAUUGUAGAGUGGCAAGGAAUAGCAUCAUAUAGAGGGUGCUGAUGCAGUUGGGACAUUAGCCAAUAUGAACUUCUCUGAGCUGAGCAGCCUUCAACUCAGCUACUACUCUACAAGUGUCCACAAAUCCUGCAAAUCUUCUCACACUCUGUCAAGGCGAACAUUUUGUUAAUGCAGUUCUACCUCUAGAUGAGGAGCAGAAUAAGAAGAGGAAUGCAUGUUGUUUAGUUUGGUGUCGUAUUUCUUUAACAGAUCAGCCUAGACACUUGCGGUCAGAAGCUACUGCAGCCCUCCUGCACUCCUGCCGGGUUACUUCUGCCUGCUCCGACCCCCCAAUUAACCAAGAAGACCAUGUUUCUCACCUACUGGGCCCCCUACUUCAUUGAAGAACAUGGUGAUAGUUCAGCAUUUUAUGAAGAUGUUUGAUUUUGAAAAUGUGUGAAUUAUAAUUUUCUGAUGUAUUAAAUUUUCCUUGUGAACAAACGUAAAAA
Frankliniella occidentalis (western flower thrips) is the source of this 1208-nucleotide long non-coding RNA. RefSeq lists it as uncharacterized. The transcript has 4 exons. The record is from RefSeq and is a predicted model, not a curated record. NCBI's taxonomy places the organism in Eukaryota, Metazoa, Arthropoda, Insecta, Thysanoptera, Thripidae.